ACCGAGGAAGUAAAUGACACUGACC
RNAcentral lists this non-coding RNA (25 nucleotides) under Cricetulus griseus (Chinese hamster). The record is from RNAcentral. Lineage: Eukaryota; Metazoa; Chordata; Mammalia; Rodentia; Cricetidae.